Molecule: non-coding RNA, 27 nt
Filed under: Homo sapiens (human)
Lineage: Eukaryota; Metazoa; Chordata; Mammalia; Primates; Hominidae
Source: RNAcentral
UGCCACUGAAGAUCCCAGUAUUCUGGC